This 1323-nucleotide ribosomal RNA is filed under the name uncultured Alphaproteobacteria bacterium. RNAcentral describes it as "bacterial SSU rRNA". It matches the Rfam family "Bacterial small subunit ribosomal RNA", at positions 27 to 1397 of the family's 1533-position model. The record is from RNAcentral. Lineage: Bacteria; Pseudomonadati; Pseudomonadota; Alphaproteobacteria.
GAACGUACGCUGGCGGCACGCCUAACACAUGCAAGUCGAACGAAGUAGCAAUACUUAGUGGCAGACGGGUGAGUAACAUGUAGGUAUCUGCCCUUUGGCCUGGAAUAACACGAGGAAACUUGUGCUAAUACCGGAUAAGUCUUUACGGAGAAAGCUUUAUGCACCAUUGGAUGAGCCUGCACUUGAUUAGUUUGUUGGUAGGGUAAUGGCCUACCAAGACUGUGAUCAAUAGCUGAUUUGAGAGGAUGAUCAGCCACAUUGGGACUGAGACACGGCCCAAACUCCUACGGGAGGCAGCAGUGGGGAAUCUUGCACAAUGGAGGAAACUCUGAUGCAGCGAUGCCGCGUGAGUGAAGAAGGCCUUUGGGUUGUAAAGCUCUUUCGUCGGGGAAGAAAAUGACUGUACCCGAAUAAGAAGGUCCGGCUAACUUCGUGCCAGCAGCCGCGGUAAUACGAAGGGACCUAGCGUAGUUCGGAAUUACUGGGCUUAAAGAGUUCGUAGGUGGUUGAAAAAGUUGGUGGUGAAAUCCCAGAGCUUAACUCUGGAACUGCCAUCAAAACUUUUCAGCUAGAGUUUGAUAGAGGAAAGCAGAAUUUCUAGUGUAGAGGUGAAAUUCGUAGAUAUUAGAAAGAAUACCAAUUGCGAAGGCAGCUUUCUGGAUCAUUACUGACACUGAGGAACGAAAGCAUGGGUAGCGAAGAGGAUUAGAUACCCUCGUAGUCCAUGCCGUAAACGAUGUGUGUUAGACGUUGGAAAUUUAUUUUCAGUGUCGCAGCGAAAGCGAUAAACACACCGCCUGGGGAGUACGACCGCAAGGUUAAAACUCAAAUGAAUUGACGGGGACCCGCACAAGUAGUGGAGCAUGUGGUUUAAUUCGAAGAUACGCGCAGAACCUUACCAACACUUGACAUGUUCGUCGCGACUCUAAGAGAUUAGAGUUUUCGGUUCGGCCGGACGAAACACAGGUGCUGCAUGGCUGUCGUCAGCUCGUGUCGUGAGAUGUUGGGUUAAGUCCCGCAACGAGCGCAACCCUCACUUUUAGUUGCCAUCAUUAAGUUGGGCACUCUGAAAGAACUGCCAGUGAUAAGCUGGAGGAAGGUGGGGAUGACGUCAAGUCCUCAUGGCCCUUACGUGUUGGGCUACACACGUGCUACAAUGGUAUCUACAACAGGAAGCAAGACUGCGAAGUUAAGCAAAUCCCUAAAAGAUACCUCAGUUCGGAUUGCACUCUGCAACUCGAGUGCAUGAAGCUGGAAUUACUAGUAAUCGUGGAUCAGCGUGCCACGGUGAAUGCGUUCCCGGGUCUUGUACACACCGCCCGU